AAAGGAAUUGACGGGGACCCGCACAAGCGGCGGAGCAUGCGGAUUAAUUCGAUGCAACGCGAAGAACCUUACCAAGGCUUGACAUAUACGAGAACGGGCCAGAAAUGGUCAACUCUUUGGACACUCGUAAACAGGUGGUGCAUGGUUGUCGUCAGCUCGUGUCGUGAGAUGUUGGGUUAAGUCCCGCAACGAGCGCAACCCUCGUUCUAUGUUGCCAGCACGUAAUGGUGGGAACUCAUGGGAUACUGCCGGGGUCAACUCGGAGGAAGGUGGGGAUGACGUCAAAUCAUCAUGCCCCUUAUGUCUUGGGCUUCACGCAUGCUACAAUGGCCGGUACAAUGGGCUGCAAUACCGUAAGGUGGAGCGAAUCCCAAAAAGCCGGUCCCAGUUCGGAUUGAGGUCUGCAACUCGACCUCAUGAAGUCGGAGUCGCUAGUAAUCGCAGAUCAGCAACGCUGCGGUGAAUACGUUCCCGGGUCUUGUACACACCGCCCGU
RNAcentral lists this ribosomal RNA (495 nucleotides) under uncultured bacterium. RNAcentral's name for it is "bacterial SSU rRNA". It matches the Rfam family "Bacterial small subunit ribosomal RNA", at positions 903 to 1397 of the family's 1533-position model. The record is from RNAcentral.